AAGGCAAAAAGGAAAACUAAUAUAUAUACAAUGUGUCAACUCAGCACAUAACAACUGCAUGUCAUAAUAGCUCAUAACUAUAUGUUUAGACAUUUACAAUAUGAUUAACAAUGGUCCACAUCAUCUCUUGGAGGGCAGUUAGACAUGUGCUAUAAGAUGUACAGUAUGGAUAAGGAGGGAAAAAAGAGGAAAAAUAGAGAAAGACCUUGAUAGCAAACAAGAAUGGGCAGGCAUCCUAGUCAAGCAACAUAGUUACUAUAAUGACCUAUGUUGCUCGAGCUCUCCGAAAACGUUGAUGGGUGUGUGUCGGAUCCUCCAAAAGCAGUGCUUUUUUGGAGGAUCCGACACAGGUGUGACAGCUGUUUUGAAGAGUUUGUGCAACAUAGAUCAUGACCACAAGGGCUCCCACAGUUUUUGUGGUUCUUCCAUGUCCAUAGUCAUCUGCAUGCACACCACUUCAGCUUGAGCAACUGCCAGUUGCAUUUGGAGAAGGCU
RNAcentral lists this long non-coding RNA (495 nucleotides) under Nicotiana tabacum (common tobacco). RNAcentral describes it as "long non-coding RNA (NTAB_LNC010743)". The record is from RNAcentral. Lineage: Eukaryota; Viridiplantae; Streptophyta; Magnoliopsida; Solanales; Solanaceae.